Molecule: ribosomal RNA, 538 nt
Filed under: Pelobates cultripes (western spadefoot toad)
Lineage: Eukaryota; Metazoa; Chordata; Amphibia; Anura; Pelobatidae
Description: SSU_rRNA_eukarya
Rfam family: Eukaryotic small subunit ribosomal RNA
Source: RNAcentral
UAGGUUGAAGCGGCGGUGACUAUGGCGGUGUAGGUGGAAGCAGCGGUGGAGGAGGAGGAUGAGGUAGCCAACACUGUUUUUUAUAUGUAUAUUUUUUAUUUUAAUUAGGGUAGCCCCCAAAAUAUUGGGACAUAUAAAAAAGCCAACUCUGUUCUGCAGAGUAGCUGUUGACAUUAUAGUUGAGCAGACACUUUGUUGACUCUAGAGAACCUCGGGCCAAUCGCACAUCCCCGUGGCGGUGACUUUGCAUGCGGAUGUCAUCCAUAUCAACUUUCGAUGCCAGUUUCUGCGCCUGACCACGGGUAACGGGGAAUCAGGGUUCCAUUCCAUACAGGGACCCUGAGAAAUGGGUACCACAUGCAAGCAGGCGCGCAAAUGACCCACUCUCGAUUCGGGAAGGUAGUGAUGACAAAUUACAAUACAGGACUCUUUAGAGGCCCUGUAAUUGUAAUGAGUCCACUUGAAAUUCUUUAACUCUGAUCAAUUUGAAGGGAAGUCUGGUGUAGAGCCACUGACCCGUGCGUGCUGCAGCUGAAAC